GAUAUUUUUUUUAAAUUUAAAAAUUCUAUAGUUCCUACUAUAAAAUUAAUUUUUACAAAAAAUUUGGUAAUUAACUUUAUUUUUCAAAAUAUAAUCAGAACAAUAUAAACAUAGUAAUCUAAAAUAUAGAAAAAGAAGAGGAAAAAAGCUAAUUUUCUGAAUAUUUUUCAGAAAAUUAGCUUUUUUGGUAUGUUUGUUUCUAUGGCAUCCUGCUGUCUGCUACAGAAACAAACAUACUAGAUGCUUGUCCCAGCUCCGCUGAACCAACAGCCACAAUGGCAUCUACGUAUCUACAUUUAUUAUACUUGCAGCUCCGCUGAGCCACAACGGCAUCUAUGUAUUUACCUUAUUAUGCUCGCUUUGUGCCUACAGCUGCUUUAUCGUACCUCUACUUUAUUAUACCUCUGCUUUGCUGUGCCCUCCAGCUUUAUGCUCACUGCUUUAUUAUACGUGUCAUAUAAAAAAGCUAAUUUUCUGAAAAA
Molecule: long non-coding RNA, 482 nt
Filed under: Androctonus crassicauda
Lineage: Eukaryota; Metazoa; Arthropoda; Arachnida; Scorpiones; Buthidae
Source: RNAcentral